AUUGAACGCUGGCGGCAUGCCUUACACAUGCAAGUCGAACGGCAGCACGGACUUCGGUCUGGUGGCGAGUGGCGAACGGGUGAGUAAUGUAUCGGAACGUACCUUUCAGUGGGGGAUAACGUAGCGAAAGUUACGCUAAUACCGCAUAUUCUGUGAGCAGGAAAGCAGGGGAUCGAAAGACCUUGCGCUGAUUGAGCGGCCGAUAUCAGAUUAGCUAGUUGGUGGGGUAAAGGCCUACCAAGGCGACGAUCUGUAGCGGGUCUGAGAGGAUGAUCCGCCACACUGGAACUGGGACACGGUCCAGACUCCUACGGGAGGCAGCAGUGGGGAAUUUUGGACAAAGGGGGCAACCCUGAUCCAGCCAUGCCGCGUGAGUGAAGAAGGCCUUCGGGUUGUAAAGCUCUUUCGGCCGGGAAGAAAUCGCAUAGGCUAAUACCCUGUGUGGAUGACGGUACCGGAAUAAGAAGCACCGGCUAACUACGUG
RNAcentral lists this ribosomal RNA (484 nucleotides) under uncultured bacterium. Its description in RNAcentral is "partial 16S ribosomal RNA". It matches the Rfam family "Bacterial small subunit ribosomal RNA", at positions 30 to 507 of the family's 1533-position model. The record is from RNAcentral.